UUAAAUUGAAGAGUUUGAUCAUGGCUCAGAUUGAACGCUGGCGGCAGGCCUAACACAUGCAAGUCGAACGGUAACAGGAAGCAGCUUGCUGCUUCGCUGACGAGUGGCGGACGGGUGAGUAAUGUCUGGGAAACUGCCUGAUGGAGGGGGAUAACUACUGGAAACGGUGGCUAAUACCGCAUAACGUCGCAAGACCAAAGAGGGGGACCUUCGGGCCUCUUGCCAUCAGAUGUGCCCAGAUGGGAUUAGCUAGUUGGUGAGGUAACGGCUCACCAAGGCGACGAUCCCUAGCUGGUCUGAGAGGAUGACCAGCCACACUGGAACUGAGACACGGUCCAGACUCCUACGGGAGGCAGCAGUGGGGAAUAUUGCACAAUGGGCGCAAGCCUGAUGCAGCCAUGCCGCGUGUAUGAAGAAGGCCUUCGGGUUGUAAAGUACUUUCAGCGGGGAGGAAGGUGUUGUGGUUAAUAACCGCAGCAAUUGACGUUACCCGCAGAAGAAGCACCGGCUAACUCCGUGCCAGCAGCCGCGGUAAUACGGAGGGUGCAAGCGUUAAUCGGAAUUACUGGGCGUAAAGCGCACGCAGGCGGUCUGUCAAGUCGGAUGUGAAAUCCCCGGGCUCAACCUGGGAACUGCAUUCGAAACUGGCAGGCUUGAGUCUUGUAGAGGGGGGUAGAAUUCCAGGUGUAGCGGUGAAAUGCGUAGAGAUCUGGAGGAAUACCGGUGGCGAAGGCGGCCCCCUGGACAAAGACUGACGCUCAGGUGCGAAAGCGUGGGGAGCAAACAGGAUUAGAUACCCUGGUAGUCCACGCCGUAAACGAUGUCUACUUGGAGGUUGUGCCCUUGAGGCGUGGCUUCCGGAGCUAACGCGUUAAGUAGACCGCCUGGGGAGUACGGCCGCAAGGUUAAAACUCAAAUGAAUUGACGGGGGCCCGCACAAGCGGUGGAGCAUGUGGUUUAAUUCGAUGCAACGCGAAGAACCUUACCUGGUCUUGACAUCCACAGAACUUUCCAGAGAUGGAUUGGUGCCUUCGGGAACUGUGAGACAGGUGCUGCAUGGCUGUCGUCAGCUCGUGUUGUGAAAUGUUGGGUUAAGUCCCGCAACGAGCGCAACCCUUAUCCUUUGUUGCCAGCGGUCCGGCCGGGAACUCAAAGGAGACUGCCAGUGAUAAACUGGAGGAAGGUGGGGAUGACGUCAAGUCAUCAUGGCCCUUACGACCAGGGCUACACACGUGCUACAAUGGCGCAUACAAAGAGAAGCGACCUCGCGAGAGCAAGCGGACCUCAUAAAGUGCGUCGUAGUCCGGAUUGGAGUCUGCAACUCGACUCCAUGAAGUCGGAAUCGCUAGUAAUCGUGGAUCAGAAUGCCACGGUGAAUACGUUCCCGGGCCUUGUACACACCGCCCGUCACACCAUGGGAGUGGGUUGCAAAAGAAGUAGGUAGCUUAACCUUCGGGAGGGCGCUUACCACUUUGUGAUUCAUGACUGGGGUGAAGUCGUAACAAGGUAACCGUAGGGGAACCUGCGGUUGGAUCACCUCCUUACCUGAAAGAA
This 1554-nucleotide ribosomal RNA is filed under the name Salmonella enterica subsp. enterica serovar Bareilly. RNAcentral describes it as "bacterial SSU rRNA". It matches the Rfam family "Bacterial small subunit ribosomal RNA". Lineage: Bacteria; Pseudomonadati; Pseudomonadota; Gammaproteobacteria; Enterobacterales; Enterobacteriaceae. The record is from RNAcentral.